UGCAGUAGCCCGCGGUUUAGAUUAUUUCUAAUUCUUUUCUUUAAUAGAUAGCUAUGGUAGGAUAAUGUUUAAUUUAUGAUAACCACGCUCAUAUUCUACAUAUCGUCUCAAUAGGAAGCAGCUGUGGAGCUGUUUAGCAUGGCGUCUGAACUUUUCAGAGCAUCUCAAGGUACAAGAAUACCAACACUGGAAGCAUUAAAUGAAGUCGUAGCACAAACAGUUUCCCGUCUGUUCCAAAUACUGCCGAGUGGAUAUCUGCCCGAUCUGGACACUUCUGUGGAUCUUUUUGAAAUGGAUGUCAUCGAUGUCAACUCGAUAGACUUUUCCCCUAAACAGCAGCUGAAGACCUUAAAAGAUCAGCAAUUGAAAUUUCAUCAACAGCUUCGUAAAGCUGGCUUAUCCUUGACGAACGCAAUUAACAGCGCAGCAGAUGCUUUACUGGCCAUUUUGCCAGAUUCUGAGGACUACAAUACUGCAUUUGAAGGUGACAGUGUCACCGUAGUAGUUGCAAGGUUCCCUGCUAGUGACAAUGUGAUAGUUCGUGGAGGUCUGGUCAAUGCGUCAUUUUCUUUCGCAAGCUGUUCGCCGAAUGGCAGCGUAGACGCUACGGUUUGUGAUUCACUUGAAGUUAUAUUUUCUCUGUUUGUUUUUCUGGACUUGCUGCUAUUUAUUUGUAUUUUUGCGGAUUAUUUUGUUUCUCAUAGAAAUUUAAAAAUCACUGAUCAGAUCUAAACACUGAAUGGCGUCAUUCAAGAAUGAAAAAAACUACAUGUUAAAAUUACUAACAAUCGCCAAUGCAACACAAUGCAAAUA
Branchiostoma floridae (Florida lancelet) is the source of this 813-nucleotide long non-coding RNA. RefSeq lists it as uncharacterized. The record is from RefSeq and is a predicted model, not a curated record. Lineage: Eukaryota; Metazoa; Chordata; Leptocardii; Amphioxiformes; Branchiostomatidae. The transcript has 3 exons.